CCCUCCUUUCUCGAGCUAGACGUGUCAAACGUUGAGCGCUCACGCUUAUCGGCUGUAGUAGUAAAGAAACGCAGACAGACUCAGGGGUCUGUAGCUCAGUCGGUUAGAGCACCGUCUUGAUAAGGCGGGGGUCGAUGGUUCGAAUCCAUCCAGACCCACCACUGUCUUGUCUGGUGCGCUGGGCGUCUGAAUGCCUCUGGGGUGACUGUAUGACUGGGGGAUUAGCUCAGCUGGGAGAGCACCUGCUUUGCAAGCAGGGGGUCGUCGGUUCGAUCCCGUCAUCCUCCACCAAUCCUCAAUGCGUAGGGUUCUGUGUCAGGUACACAGAGCGUUGUGCAUUGGCGAUUGAGCCAGUCAGUAAGGAUACGCGGUUACAGCAAUCGCGCUAUCGGCUGAACGUUCUUUAACAAUCAGGAAGAAGUAGUAAAGAGAUUCACGAAAGUGUACUUAGAGAUGGGUACAUGAGUAGGUGAAUCAGGGUUGUGAUUGUAUCGAUGUAUUUUUAAGGGAAUCGAAAGAUUGCCUUUGGAAUACGGCGCAACACGAAUACUCAACCUGUAGCGAGUGCGUCGCGAGACACACCCGUUAUAGGGUCAAGCGAACAAGUGCAUGUGGUGGAUGCCUUGGCGAUCACAGGCGAUGAAGGACGCGGUAGCCUGCGAAAAGCUACGGGGAGCUGGCAAACGAGCUUUGAUCCGUAGAUGUCCGAAUGAG
Molecule: unclassified non-coding RNA, 714 nt
Filed under: Burkholderia sp. JNR133
Lineage: Bacteria; Pseudomonadati; Pseudomonadota; Betaproteobacteria; Burkholderiales; Burkholderiaceae
Description: partial 16S-23S ribosomal RNA intergenic spacer; may also contain 16S ribosomal RNA and 23S ribosomal RNA
Rfam family: Bacterial large subunit ribosomal RNA (bases 592-714)
Source: RNAcentral